GCUAUGUAAUAUUUUUAUCACUAUUUCACUACUGGGUAUUUCCAAUUGUUUGUGCUAGUUGUUAUCCUUUUGCAAUCCUGGGACAGCUGGUUAGGGAUUCGUCCAGACACGCCUCUCUGAACGAGUUCUAAAGAACACACGGGGGUUGUCUGGUUUGCGCUAGGGGUAAAAAUGAUUGUACUAUUUGCUUUUGUAGUUAAUAGAUUAGAGUUUUCUAACCGCAACAUAUAGAACAGGUGUUCUUAAGUGCGGGACACUGAAAACCGAAUAUAGCAACGGAGGAAACGAUAGCUCGAAGCAUACCUCGAAGCACAGUGAAGCCCAUCAUUAAAAAGGUGAGAAAUUAUGGAACAACUUUGAAUCUGCCCAGAACUGGCCGUCCUCCAAAAUUGAGUGUCCAGACAAGAAGAGCCGUAAUAAAGGAGGCCACCAUGAGGCCUACGGCAACUCUAAAGGAGUUAGAGGUGAGUGUACUCUGUGUGCUCUGGGUGAUGGUGUAGAGGCUGCAGGCUGGGUGUGUGCUCCUGGAGUGAGGUGCUCUGUGUGCUCUGGGUGAAGGUGUAGAGGCUGCAGGCUGGGUGUGUGCUC
RNAcentral lists this long non-coding RNA (588 nucleotides) under Lepisosteus oculatus (spotted gar). RNAcentral's name for it is "lncRNA (ENSLOCG00000021527.1)". Lineage: Eukaryota; Metazoa; Chordata; Actinopteri; Semionotiformes; Lepisosteidae. The record is from RNAcentral.